ACACUAGUUUAGUGUAGUGCAUACACUAAAAUUGGAAUGAUACAGAGAAAAUUAGCAUGGCCUCUAUGCAAGGUUAACACACAAAUUCGUGAAGUGUCCAAAUUUUUU
Molecule: small nuclear RNA, 108 nt
Organism: Lagopus leucura (white-tailed ptarmigan)
Lineage: Eukaryota; Metazoa; Chordata; Aves; Galliformes; Phasianidae
Source: RefSeq, a predicted model, not a curated record